UGGGGUGUAGCCAAGUGGUAAGGCACCGGUUUUUGGUAUCGGCAUGCGUAGGUUCGAAUCCUACCACCCCAGCCA
Molecule: transfer RNA, 75 nt
Filed under: Alphaproteobacteria bacterium
Lineage: Bacteria; Pseudomonadati; Pseudomonadota; Alphaproteobacteria
Also listed under: 1 other name
Description: tRNA-Gln
Rfam family: tRNA
About the family: Transfer RNA (tRNA) molecules are approximately 80 nucleotides in length. Their secondary structure includes four short double-helical elements and three loops (D, anti-codon, and T loops).
Source: RNAcentral